CAAUAGCGUAUAUUAAAGUUGUUGCGGUAAAAAAGCUCGUAGUUGGAUUUCUGUUGAGAGCGACCGGUCCAUACCAUGUAUGCGUAUCUGGCUUGCUCUCGGCAUCCUCUCGAUAGACGUUACUGCGCUUGAUUGCGUGGUGCGGAUCUCGGGACUUUUACUUUGAGGAAAUUAGAGUGUUCACGGCAGGCUUUCGCCAGAAUACAUUAGCAUGGAAUAAUACUAUAGGAUCUUGGUUCUAUUUUGUUGGUUUCUAGAAUUGAGAUAAUGAUUAAUAGGGACAAUUGGGGGCAUUCGUAUCAACACGUCAGAGGUGGAAUUCUUGGAUUGUGUUGCGACGAACUACUGCGGAAGCAUUUGCCAAGGAUGUUUUCAUUGA
Molecule: ribosomal RNA, 379 nt
Filed under: uncultured eukaryote
Lineage: Eukaryota
Description: partial 18S ribosomal RNA
Rfam family: Eukaryotic small subunit ribosomal RNA
Source: RNAcentral